UAAAAGAAAUUUUAUUAAAGAUUAAAGAUUAAACGAUUGUUCAAACAUGGCGAAUAAAUUGACAAAACGAAAAUAUUACAUGACGUUCCAUCGAAAAUAACAGCAAGGAUUGCGGGCGCGAGCGGAAGGCGAGGGUAAUAGAUAUUAAUAGAAGGGAUGAUACAUCGGUAAUGGGAUCGUCUGAUGUGUUAAAGUCACGUGAUAUUUGUUUCAUCCCUUUUAUUUAUUUCUUCCCUCGCCUUUUCGCUCGCGCGCCCGCGCAAUCUCUGCUGUUAUUUGUAUAACUAUAUCUGUUAUGUUACAUGUAUAAUAUUUUCGUUUUGUCAAUUUUUUCGCCAUAUUUGAACAAUCUU
Molecule: non-coding RNA, 353 nt
Organism: Paramuricea clavata
Lineage: Eukaryota; Metazoa; Cnidaria; Anthozoa; Malacalcyonacea; Plexauridae
Source: the annotation of a GenBank genome assembly